This 2814-nucleotide long non-coding RNA is filed under the name Homo sapiens (human). Its description in RNAcentral is "non-protein coding lnc-PPIL4-1:1". Lineage: Eukaryota; Metazoa; Chordata; Mammalia; Primates; Hominidae. The record is from RNAcentral.
UUUUUUUUGUAUUUUUAGUAGAGACGGGGUUUCACUGUGUUAGCCAGGAUGGUCUCGAUCUCCUGACCUCGUGAUCUGCCUGCUUCAGCCUCCCAAAGUGCUGGGAUUACAGGCAUGAGCCACUGCACCUGGCUGAUUAUUCACAUUUUUAAAAGAGGAUUUGAGAAAUACAAACACAGGCCACUUUACACAAUAAAAUAGGCAACAAUAACAUACGUAUGUUUGCAAGCAUAAGCAGUUCUCAGCUCUACUAAUGACAGUCACAUGGGUAUGACAGUUAUGAACAGAUGAGUGGUAUUUAUAAAGAAAUAGGUCAAAAAGGGAAAUGUAUCAAUGCAUAGCCCUGUGGUUGGUAAUUGUGUAUGCUCAGCUUUAUAACUGCAGUCAUUUGAAAUACUUUAAGAACAACCAGUGUCUUCCACUGGCUUCACUCAGAUGCUAAUCUCUGGAAACACUUGCACAGACACACUCAAAACACUAAUAAGUUUCUAGGUGUUCCUUAAUCCAAUCAACUUGACACCUAAAAUUAAGUCCCAAAGAACACCUCUUAUCAACUCAGCACCCAUACAUACCUCCUUAAACCGUACUUAAUUUCCAAAUAAAGACAAUGAGAAAGUUGUAGUUCUACCUAUCAUGAUGCCAGUAUCCUCUGAUUGUGAUUUUUGGGAUUUUAGACAUUAUGGAUUUUAGAUUAGGCAUUUUGAUCUUUUGGGAUUUCACCAUUCAGGAUUAAGGUGUUCGAGAUUGUGUCUUACAGGAUUAUAAACCAAAUCCCUUUUUGGGAUUGGGUUUGUUUUGCCCCAGUCAGCCUUAUUCUUCAGAGAUUCUUCCAGUUUGUUGCUGUAUCAAUAGUUCACUUUUAUUUUAUUUUGUUUUAUUUAUUUAUUUGGGAUGGAGUCUCGUUGCCCAGGCUGGAGUGCAGUGGCGCCAUCUCAGCUCACUGCAGCCUCUGCCUCCUGGGUUCAAGCAAUUCUUCUGCCUCGGUCUCCCUAGUAGCUGGGAUUACAGGCGCACACCACUAUGCCUGGCUAAUUUUUGUAUUUUUAGUAGAGACGGAGUGUCGCCAUGUUGGCCAGGCUGGUCUCGAACUCCUGACCUCAGGUGAUCCACCCGCCUCAGCCUCCCAAAGUGCUAGGAUUACAGGUGUGAGCCACUGUACCUGGCCAAUAGUUCACUUUUAUUGUUGAGUAGUAUUUCAUGGUAUGAAUAUACUGUAGUUUGUUUAACCAUUCACCCAUUGAAGGACAUCUGGGUUGUUUACAGUUUGGGACCGUAAUGAGUAAAGCUGCUGUUAGUUUCUUUGUGAACACAGUCUUCAUUUCUUCUGGAUAACUGCCCAGUAGUGCAGUUGUUAGGUCAUAUGAUAAUUGCAUAUUUAAAGAAACUGCUGAACUGUUUUCCUGGGUGAGUCAGACUGCUUUACAUUCCCACCAAGAACAUAUGGGCGAUCCACUUCAUCCGCAUUCUCAACAACAUUUAGUUGUGUCUCUGUGUUUUAUUUUAGGCAUUCUGGUAGGUAUAUAGUGAUAGAUAUAUAACUUACUCUGGUUUUAAUUUUUAUUUCUUUAAUUGGUAAUGUUGUUGAGUAUCUUUUCAUGUACUCAUUUUGCCAUCUGCAUAUCCUGUUAGGUGAAAUGUUACUUUAUAUCUAAUUGGAUUUUUAGGUUUUUUUUUAUUUUUGAGUUUUGAGAGUUCUUUAUGUAUUCUACAUACUAGUUCUUUGUCAGAUAUGUUGCUUGCAGCUGUUUCCUCCCAAUAUAUAGCUUGUCUUUCUUUUUUUUUCUUUUUUAAGACAGUCUCGCUCUGUCACUCAGGCUGGAGUACAGUGGUGAGAUCACAGUUCACUGCAGCCUCAACCUCCAGGGCUCAAGCAAUCCUCCCACCUCAGCCUCUUAGUAGCUGGGACUACAGGUGCCUGCCACCACAGCCAGCUAAUUUUUUUUUUUUAUUAUUAGUGGAAACGAGGUCCCUAUGUUGCCCAGGCUGGUCUCAAACUCCUGGUCUCAAGCAGUUCUCCCGCUUUGGCCUCCCAAAAUGCUGGGAUUACAGGUAUGAGUCACCAUGCCUAGCCUCCAAUGUAUGGCCUGUCUUUUAAUAGAGUUUUGUAGAGUACAAGAUUUUAAUUUUUCUGCAGUUUAUCAGUUUUUCCUUUUAUGGAUUGUGCUUUUGGUGUCAAAAGUAAGAACUCUGCCGAGCACUAGCUUCCGAAAUUUUUCUCAUACUUUUAAUUUUUUUAAAAAAAUUCUCUAGUUUUACAUUUAAGUCUGUGAUCCAUUUUGAGAUUUUUUUUUUUUUUUUUUUGACUUAUGAACAUCCACUUGUACUGGGACUAUUUGUUGAAAAAGGUCUCUGGCUGCUUUUAAGGUUUACCUUUGUCUUCGGUAUUCUAGAAUAUUCCACUAUAAUGUGUCUAGAUAGGGAUUUCCUUUAUCUUUCUUGUUAUAUCCUGUGUCUGAUGGCUUAAUGUUUUUUAUUAUUCUGGAAACUUCUCUGCCAUUUUUUCUUCAAAUAGUCUCUCUCCACAUUCUAUCUAUUAUUUCCUUUUGUAAUCUUAGUCAGUUUUAUGUAAGGCUUUCUCCUCUUGUUCUUUGUAUCUUAACUCAUAUUAUCCAGAUAGUUUAUUCUGAAUAAUUGUUUCAGGUCUAUAUUCCAGGUCACCCACUCUUUUUCACAUAAGCCCAGUCUCUUAUUUAACCCAUCCACUGAAUUUUUAAUUUCAGUAAUUUUUUGUUUUUGGAGUUCUGUUUGAUUCUUUCUUGAAUUUUCCUGGUUAUUUUUGAUUUUCUGUUGUUCUUUGCUCAUUUAUUUCCACUC